UACAGAGGUCCCAAGCGUUGUUCGGAUUCACUGGGCGUAAAGGGUGCGUAGGUGGUCGGGUAAGUCUGAUGUGAAAUCUCCGAGCUCAACUCGGAAACUGCAUUGGAAACUACCUUGCUCGAGGGUUGGAGGGGGGACUGGAAUGCUUGGUGUAGCAGUGAAAUGCGUAGAUAUCAAGCGGAACACCAGUGGCGAAGGCGAGUCCCUGGACAACUCCUGACACUGAGGCACGAAAGCUAGGGGAGCAAACAGG
This 253-nucleotide ribosomal RNA is filed under the name uncultured bacterium. RNAcentral describes it as "partial 16S ribosomal RNA". It matches the Rfam family "Bacterial small subunit ribosomal RNA", at positions 524 to 776 of the family's 1533-position model. The record is from RNAcentral.